CGUGGGCCCAGCGCGCCUUUGUCUCCCCAGCCGCGCGCGAAGACCCGAAGCAUACCGCCAGGCCGAACCUGGGAGCGAACAAAAGCCCGACGCCGCCGGCGAAUAGACCCCGAGUUUGCCAAGCCGCCUGCCUACAGCGGCGGGGACGGGCCCGUAGGGGUGGGAGGCCGGGGGCCGCGACCCAGGGGAGUGUUUCUGUCCGCGCGGGUUCACCUGAGGCGCCGAAGAACGACAGCGACAGGGGAGGGGAACCGUCCCCGCUUCCCGUCCCCGUGCCGUGCCGGCCGACUUUGUUAAGUUGCAGACAGCGGUGCGGGAUCGUUUGCCUACGUGGAGUUGCGGCGCCGACCCUGGUGUCCUGGGGCUCAGCGGGCGCUCCCAGGAAUGCGCAGAGCUCUGCCAGUUGGCCCUGGUACCCUCAGAGCGGUCUGGGCCCCACGCCAGGGAACGACGGACUGGGCCGGGUUGAUAUCGCACUUGUCCGGGAAUCACCCAAAUCCAGUGCUUCUGGGCAGGCCCCUGGCCGACUGAUCCUCUGGGAUGGCAGCUGUCAAUCCUUGGGCCUCCUGGGGUGAGUCCAAAUUCUGCGUCUUCCUGGGCGCCUCAGCGCGGGCCUGCUGCAGCC
Molecule: long non-coding RNA, 625 nt
Organism: Suricata suricatta (meerkat)
Lineage: Eukaryota; Metazoa; Chordata; Mammalia; Carnivora; Herpestidae
Exons: 3
Source: RefSeq, a predicted model, not a curated record